CGGAGGGUGCAAACGUUGCUCGGAAUCAUUGGGCGUAAAGCGCACGUAGGCGGCGAAAUAAGUUGGGUGUGAAAGCCCUGGGCUCAACCCAGGAAGUGCAUUCAAAACUGUUUCGCUUGAAUCUCGGAGGGGGUCAGAGAAUUCCCGGUGUAGAGGUGAAAUUCGUAGAUAUCGGGAGGAAUACCAGUGGCGAAGGCGCUGACCUGGACGAAGAUUGACGCUGAGGUGCGAAAGCGCGGGGAGCAAACAGGAUUAGAUACCCUGGUAGUCCGCGCUGUAAACGAUGAGUGCUAGACGGUGGAGGUAUUGACCCCUUCGCUGCUGAAGCUAACGCGUUAAGCACUCCGCCUGGGGAGUACGGUCGCAAGACUA
Molecule: ribosomal RNA, 372 nt
Filed under: uncultured organism
Description: bacterial SSU rRNA
Rfam family: Bacterial small subunit ribosomal RNA
Source: RNAcentral